Long non-coding RNA from Lolium perenne, 855 nucleotides. RefSeq lists it as uncharacterized. NCBI's taxonomy places the organism in Eukaryota, Viridiplantae, Streptophyta, Magnoliopsida, Poales, Poaceae. The record is from RefSeq and is a predicted model, not a curated record.
UGCUCCCGCUAACCUCGCUCGUUGCCAAACUGUAUCCCAGAAUUUCUGGUCAGUUACGAUCCGUCAGCCUCGUCUCCCUAAAUCCCUCUGCUCCUCGCUUCUACUCUCGGCCGCCGCGCGACCCUGUUCUCCCCGCCGCCCCUCAACUCACUCCACCCCGCCGCACCCUUCCGCCCUGGCCGAGAUCUGCGCCUCCACAUGGAUCGACUCCUGCGCUGGCACACAUGAAGUUCCAUCGCGUCCAUGGCCGUCGGUGGCCAGAGCACUAGGUGUGGGACGCUGCGCGCCGAUGGGGCUACACACCAGCCGAAGCAGCGAGCAGGAGGCUGCUUCCACCGAUCGUGGUUGUCGUCUCAAUCCCUUGCACGACUACACAUAUCAGGAGAAGCUAAUUGAUACUGUCACCUCUAUCUGGAUCAGGACCUACACUCACAUGCGAUGACAUCGCCAAUUUUGCUCUUCAUGAUGCCAUCCCAUUGCGUGGAAGCAUCUUUGGGACCUCGUUGAGUGCCGGCAGCCGGGGAAAUUGGUUGGAGGUGAUUGCUUCCCCUGCCAUCAUGAAGAGCGAGCCGAACAUGUGAAGCAAAAUAAGAUAGUGGCGACGAGCAUGAGACUAGCUAGAGCGUAUGGCCUAGCUAUUGCUUCGCAGGAUGGCGAACACAUUCAUCAAAGGAAGUGGAUGGGAUCGGCCAUGGCUAGCUCCAAUGAUGUGUUAAACAUUAGAUACAUGUAAUUAAAUAAUGUGAAUGCAUCCAUGAUUCGAAGCAUUCUAAACUAUGUCAUCGAAUCAUGUGUAAUUUUUUCAGUGAAUGUUGGAUGAAAGUAAAAUCAUGUAUGAAUUCAGAAAGAAGCAUU